UCUUUCUUCCCAGGAGAUUUGAACGCAUCAUGCCCAAACUGCCUGCCUACUCCGGUAGUGGCUACGUGUAAUUUAGAGAAAAAUGGCAGAUAGAAAAAACAAUAAUGUUCCUAACCCCGGUGCAAAUUUGUUAUUUAGUGGGGCUCCUGAGUUUAACUUCAAUUUGCCCUUUAUGCCAGUGAGUCAGGCUUCUGGUCCGGCGGUGCUGUCGGGAGAGGAUUCUACUGAAGUUGGCGAGGAAGACAGCUUUCUGGGUCAGACUUCUGGAAAUGUACAAGCUCCUUCUACCUUUAGCUACUUUUCUAACCCAGUAACCAGCAGUGACCCGUUUGCUUCGAUUGGCCAACCAUCAUGCCCACCCCCAUCAUCAUCAUCAGCAGCAGCAGAAGCAGCCUUGUGUGCUGUCACGCAGUCUGUUCCAAGCAGUGUUAACAUGGCUCCUCUGAUGCCUCCCAGCUCACAGUUGAACACUACUUCUCCUGUUUUCAGCAGUACAGUAUAUCACAGCCCAAUGGGGCGCCACACUCCUCCCCCUAGUACAAUGACCACGCCACCUCCACAGAUGCAACCACAGAGUCAUAAUCCCUAUAGACACACCGCCACCAGCAGCAAAGCCAGUCCUUAUAUUCCAGCUCCAGAGGUUCUGCCGCAAAGCCACACAUCACAACACAAUCCCUACUCUGUCACCUCAGGGUCGCAACCAUUCCCACUGUCCGGACCCACAUUCACAAAGCCUCCUCCCGCUCACAUGCAGUCACCACCACCACUUCCUCCAGCCAAUCCUGCUGGUGCAGUCGUGCCUGCUGGCCCCAUGAUGCAGUACAACUACAAUGUUUAUGAGCCUCUUCAGCCACACUGGUUCUACUGCAAGCUAGUGGAAUCCAAAAAUGUGUGGCUUCCUUUCAGCAUCAUCGACUCCCUCCAGCUUGAGGAGACUUUUAACUCUGUUCAGCCAGACCCAGAAAAUGUGAUCGUGCGUACAGACGGUGGCCGAUUUGAUGUGCAUCUCUAUGACCGCAUGCGAUCAGCGGUCUACUGGGAGGAGGAGGAUUCGGAGGUUCGCCGCUGCACUUGGUUUUACAAAGGAGAUGCGGAUAGUCGCUUCAUCCCUUAUUCUGAGGAAUUCAGCGACAAACUAGAGGCAGAAUAUAAGAAAGCUGUCUCUACCAACCAAUGGCACCGUAGACUGGAGUUCCCUUCUGGAGAAACCAUUGUCAUGCACAAUCCAAAGGUGAUAGUGCAGUUCCAGCCCACUUCUAUGCCUGAUGAGUGGGGAACCAAUCAGGAUGCACAGACCAGGCCCAGAGUGGUGAAGAGAGGGGUUGAUGAUGACCAUGAUCAAGUCCCCGACGGUGAGCUCCCCAAAGUGGACCAUCUUGUGUUCAUGGUUCAUGGAAUUGGUCCCGUAUGUGACCUGAGGUUUCGAAGCAUUGUUGAGUGUGUGGACGACUACCGCAGCGUGUCUCUGAAACUGCUGCAGAGUCACUUUAAGAAACCCUUGGACGAUCACACCAUCAGUCGGGUGGAGUUCCUGCCUGUCCAUUGGCACACGGCCCUCCAUGGCGAUGCCACAGGGGUGGACAGGAGAAUAAAGAAAAUCACUUUGCCCAGCACAGGACGAUUACGUCACUUUACAAAUGAGACCUUGUUAGAUGUGCUAUUCUACAACAGUCCUACAUACUGCCAAACCAUCAUGGACACAGUUUCCUCAGAGAUCAACCGACUUCAUGCCCUGUUCAUGAAGAGAAACCCUGAUUACAAAGGAGCAAUAUCCGUUGCCGGGCACAGCUUGGGGUCCCUUAUACUCUUUGACCUGCUGUCAAAUCAAAAGACUGACAUGACCUCUCCUGCGGUGCCAGCCAUCAAUGGAGGAGUGCAACAGGUGGCAGCUCCGGUUGCACCCGCCGUCAUCCCUCCAGCUGCCGAGGAGGAGCCCAAAGAGGAGGAACCAGAGGACCUUUCCGCUGUGCUGGAGCAUCUUGGACUGUCCGAGUACAAGAGCACCUUUGACGAGGAAAAGAUUGACAUUGAAUCUUUUCUCAUGUGUACAAUUGAGGACUUGAAGGAGAUGGGAAUUCCCCUUGGUCCCAGGAAGAAAAUCGCCAAAUUUGUCAAAGAAAGAGUCACGAAACAGGAGAAGGAAGCUGAGGUGCAGGUGGUCAGUCAAGUGGGAGAGCCCGCACAAGCUGCUGAGACCGGGCCUGACAAGAAUCUGCCAGCAGGCGUCUCCUCCAUCCACGUCGACUAUAACUACUUUGAAGUUGGUACUGGACAGGUGUCGGUGGUCUACCACAACCUAGACUUCAGUCCGGUGAAUUUCUUUGCCUUGGGUUCUCCAAUUGGCAUGUUCUUGACUGUCAGAGGCUUGGAGAAGAUUGAAGAGGACUAUCAGCUGCCAACUUGUAAAGGAUUCUUCAACAUUUACCAUCCGUUGGACCCGGUGGCUUACAGGAUUGAGCCCAUGAUAAUACCAGACUUGGAAUUGAAGCCUGUUUUGAUACCGCAUCACAAAGGAAGGAAAAGGCUUCAUCUCGAGCUGAAGGAGAGUCUCUCCAGAAUGGGCUCGGACCUAAAGCAUGGAUUUAUCAGUUCGUUGAGGAGCGCGUGGCAGACACUCAACGAUUUUGCUCGCGCCCACACCUCCUCUGCGCAACUUCAGGCAGAAUUGGCUAUGGUGGCCGAUCAGAUUGAAGAACAGGAGAAAAGAGCACAAGAUUGUGAGCCUCUAAAAAAACCCAGAGAUCCCUGAACCACAGAAAGAAGAAGAGCCUGAGGUCAGGAUCGGGAUGCUGAAUGGAGGGAAUCGGAUCGACUUUGUCCUUCAGGAGAAGCCCAUUGAAAGUUUCAAUGAGUAUUUGUUCGCCCUACAGAGUCAUCUGUGCUACUGGGAGUCUGAAGACACAGCUCUGCUUAUCCUCAAGGAGAUCUACAAAAGCAUGGGGGUGCAGCCAGAACAUGGUACAUUAGCACAAUAAAACCCCAUCACGAAAUACUUUUUCAUUUGGAUUAUUUCGUGCCUGGAUUGUUUGUCAUUUCUUUUGCUGUCUAUCUACAUGAUUUUCUGUAGGCAAAUGUGUAAUACAACCAUAUUAUGGUGCAGACCCAAUUCUAAUGAAGUUGAGAUGUUGUUCUUAAACAUAAACAAAAACAGAAUACAACAAUUUGCAAAUCAUGUUUGGCCUAUAUUUAAUUUAAAACACUACAAAGACAAGAUAUUUAAUGUUCAAACUGAUUUUGUUUUUACCAAAUGAUGAGUUACUGUAACUGUAAUUGUUGAAGCUUUCGAGGUGGAACUCUCUCAUUCUUUUGCUUGAUGCAUAGCUUCAGGUGUUCCACAGUCCAGGGUCUCCGUUAUCGUAUUUUAUGCUUCAUGAUGCCCAAAAGUUACUGAUUAUUUGCUAAAAACAAUAAAGUUUCUCAGUUUGAACAUUAAAUAUCUUGACUUUGUCAUGUAUUUCAUUAAAUACAGGUUGAACAUGAUUUGCGAAUGAUUGAAUGCCGUUUUUCCUUUAUUUUUAACACAACGUCCCAACGCCAUUAGAAUUGGGUUUGUUUUUGUCUUAAAUUAAGAAAAGUGAAUGCCAUUGUAGAUUUAAAGAGGUGACAUGUUUAUUAUAACAUUUUGUAGUAUAAAUUAUACAGCUUGACAAGGAAAGGAAUGUGCGUCAUAUGAUAAAAUGGCAACAGAUAGCAACAAAUUAGCAGCAGUUUUUGAAUAAAGCCUUUUCUGAGUCCAAUGGGGAAAUUGCCCAAUACAUUAUUUCCUUGCA
This is an RNA transcript of Hippocampus zosterae (dwarf seahorse), 3770 nucleotides long. It is a transcript of the gene named SEC23 interacting protein, with no coding region annotated. The record is from RefSeq and is a predicted model, not a curated record. The transcript is spliced from 18 exons. NCBI's taxonomy places the organism in Eukaryota, Metazoa, Chordata, Actinopteri, Syngnathiformes, Syngnathidae.